This 363-nucleotide ribosomal RNA is filed under the name Furcifer lateralis (carpet chameleon). RNAcentral describes it as "partial 16S small subunit ribosomal RNA". It matches the Rfam family "Bacterial large subunit ribosomal RNA", at positions 1965 to 2555 of the family's 2925-position model. The record is from RNAcentral. Lineage: Eukaryota; Metazoa; Chordata; Lepidosauria; Squamata; Chamaeleonidae.
UCACUUGUCCCUUAAAUGAGGACGCGUAUGAAAGGCAACAUGAGAGAAAACCUGUCUCCUAAGGAAUGCCAAUGAAAUUGAACUGCCAGUUCAAAAGCUGGUAUAAAAAAGCAAGACAAAAAGACCCUGUGGAACUUUAAUUAACUGCUUUACAUAAUAUAAACCAGUAAUUUCAGUUGGGACAACUUUAGAAAAAAUAAACUUCCUAAUUUUACUAGACUAACUAGUCCAAAACAACCAUGACCCAGUAGUACUGAUUAACGAAACAAGCUACCCCAGGGAUAACAGCGCCACCUUCUCAAAGAGUUCAUAUCAACAAGAAGAUCUACGACCUCGAUGUUGGAUCAGGGUACCCAGACGGUG